CCUACGGGAGGCUGCAGUGAGGAAUAUUGGUCAAUGGACGAGAGUCUGAACCAGCCAAGUAGCGUGAAGGAUGACUGCCCUAUGGGUUGUAAACUUCUUUUAUAUGGGAAUAAAAUGUUCCACGUGUGGGCUUUUGUAUGUACCAUAUGAAUAAGGAUCGGCUAACUCCGUGCCAGCAGCCGCGGUAAUACGGAGGAUCCGAGCGUUAUCCGGAUUUAUUGGGUUUAAAGGGAGCGUAGGUGGAUUGUUAAGUCAGUUGUGAAAGUUUGCGGCUCAACCGUAAAAUUGCAGUUGAAACUGGCAGUCUUGAGUACAGUAGAGGUAGGCGGAAUUCGUGGUGUAGCGGUGAAAUGCUUAGAUAUCACGAAGAACUCCGAUUGCGAAGGCAGCUUACUGGACUGCAACUGACACUGAGGCUCGAAAGUGUGGGUAUCAAACAGGAUUAGAUACCCUUGUAGUC
Molecule: ribosomal RNA, 460 nt
Filed under: uncultured bacterium
Lineage: Bacteria
Description: partial 16S ribosomal RNA
Rfam family: Bacterial small subunit ribosomal RNA
Source: RNAcentral